CUUAAAACGAGAGUUUGAUCCUGGCUCAGGACGAACGCUGGCGGUAUGCCUAAUACAUGCAAGUCGAACGAUGAAAUUCUCUGCUUGCAGAGAAUGGAUUAGUGGCGAACGGGUGAGUAACACGUGGGUAACCUGCCCAUAAGAGGGGGAUAACAUUCGGAAACGGAUGCUAAUACCGCAU
RNAcentral lists this ribosomal RNA (181 nucleotides) under Marinilactibacillus piezotolerans. RNAcentral describes it as "16S rRNA. Bacterial SSU". It matches the Rfam family "Bacterial small subunit ribosomal RNA", at positions 1 to 174 of the family's 1533-position model. Lineage: Bacteria; Bacillati; Bacillota; Bacilli; Lactobacillales; Carnobacteriaceae. The record is from RNAcentral.